GGACAGGACAGCUUGUUAGCCACUGUCACAUCCUUCAGAAGCAUCAACCCUCUCUGUCUGGGGUAGGGAGGGAAAUAGGAGAAGAAAGUCAGAGACCUGCGGGCAAGACUCGUGUUCCUGAUUUGCUGCAGGGAUCAUGUAGCUGGUCUCAGUGCAGCCCACAGCAAGGGCUCUGCCUGAGGGGGCACCCAGCUGGCAGAAUUAUGCAUGUUAAGAAAAUUAUUAUUUCAAAUGACCGGUCUUCUGAGAUGGUUUAUGAUGUCUGACUUCUGAACAUUUACAUGAAGAGACAAGGGAAGGGAAGAAAAAAAAUGGGAAAACAUUUUAAUGUCAAGGCUUUUUUGACAACACAGAUGAACAUCAGCCCUUACUGAGCUUUAAGCUCAGGAUCAAAAAAACUGUUGGUUGCUUGAGUUUUCCUGCUGGAAAGACCAGAACUCUGUAGUGUGCAGGGAGCCUGCCCCCCCCUGCUGGCUUGGCAGGAGAGAGAACAACAACCACACAACAGUAUAAAUGCACUUCUGAAAAGGCUGUUAAUUAAAAAAGGAAAAAAAAAGGAUUGUAUAUAUCAUCCACAUGACACUGACACAUUCCAAUUUGUAUUAUAUGACACAUACUUGGAAUGUUUACAUGACUGAUAAGCAUAUUAAUAAGCCAAGCUUUGACAGGAAAGUAUAUUUCAAGGCUUGGAUUUCUUUGACAUAGAACUCUGUUCAGGAGAUAAUUAGUGCUGCCUGCUAUCCUCUUUCUCACAGUAGAAUUUUUUCCCAUACAAGAAAGAUUAUUCAGGGCUUUAAAAAUCCUGUUCAGUUAAAUGAAACUAGUAAAGGGUAACAGAGCACACGCCAAAUAAGAGACAAAGAGAAAAUAAAAACUGAUUAAUUUAAGGAAUCAUUUGAAGAUCAACUCUGAAUUUUGUUUUGAUUCUGAAAUAGCUGGUAAUCAAUAUUGAUUUUGAUGACUACUUUUACUAUUUUUGCUACACUAUGAACUGUAUCCAAUGUUCACCUCUGAAUAGGAAUGAGCAAACCAACUUGGAAGUAGAUAUGUUUGCUGCUCCAACCAUUCUUUGAAUCCUUACUCAUUUAGAGGAUGAAACCCAGACUACAUCCAGCCUAAGAGUCUGAACUUCCGCAUCCAAGGGAGCUUCUGGUUUAGUCUCCAUAUAAACUAGACCCACACCUCUUCUUGUGUGGUGGCCUUUUCACUCAGUGUGCUAUGCUAUGGGUCCUCUGUCUGUAAUCUGUAGGGUGUGACAAAUGUAAAUAUGUCUUUAGAGACUGAGACCAGAUAGUUCCACUGUUUCUUCCGUAGCAGUGAUGGAGGCAUCCCACCUUCAGAGUGAUUUUUGUCUAUGACAGUGUUGUGCAUGUGUCAAAGACAGAAGAGUUCAAAUAUCUGAUUCCAUCAUUACUUUUGAAAGGCAAUCACUCAAAAAUUAUUGUCAUAGACUUUCUGGUUUGUUUCCUGCAAUGCAGACUGGAAGGGCCUGGUCUGGGGUUUUUCUGCAAACCCCAAAGAGAUUGUGACAGAAGACAAGCAUCUGUCAGAAACAUUUCUGCGGGUCCAGCUGGGAGUAGGUGUCACUAGCAGAAAGUCUGCGGCAGAAAUCACCAGCAAGCUGGGAAAUCCAGUGGGAAGUAACAACAUGUGGAGGCCGAAGAACGUAUAACCUAUGCUUUGCAACCUAUGAUGCUGGAAGAGCAUUGUGUUCUUCCUUUGGUAAGCCUCUGAGUCAAUUUGCAUUUAACCAUUUCCUUAGCCAUGCUGAACUCCUUUUGGUAUUACUGAUGAAGCUCAUAGCUAGAAAUGACACCCAGCUCCCAAUGUGGGACUUGUCAAGUAGUUCCACUUCAGAGAAGGUAAUGGCCCAAGGCCAUGAUGGUUUCACUCAGAGGAUGGGGACAUAUACUUAUGAUAUUCUGGUUUCCACAAUAUGGGAAAGGAGAGUGAUUAACUUUGUCCUUUUGAAGCUGACCUUUGUGUUAGUAUCUGCACAAAAUUUCUUCAUUUGUGGGAAGCUAAGUAGACCUCUUCCCUGAAAAAUCAGUUGCUUUACAGUCUUCCAGAUACCUGAAAGGUGCCAACAUACUCUCCACCCUCACAGGAAACUUUAGGUGGGAAGAACUCCUAACUCUGUGAUUGGAUAGAGGUAGCAACUCCAGUACAAGGAGAGUGAAAACACAGUGGUGUACAAGAGGAGAUAGAAAAGAACUCUACAAAUUUGAGGUACUUUUUAAAAGAACAAAGCCAAGUGCACUUUAACAAGUGAAAAAUUAUGCACAAUAAAGCAACUGCCCAAGUACAGAGUAGGGGACGUUGGUUAGAGGGUGCCCUGCAGAAAACACAACAUCCUAGACUUGAUCAUAGUCUGAGAGCAAGUUAAAAAUAGCCAUCAUCCUUAGAGGGAAAAAAUGGAACACCAUCUCAGAAUGUAAAAAAUGGAGUAUCUAUUAUAGUAUAGUAAUACAUAAUUCCUUUGGUUUCCUCAGUACUGGUGAGACCCAACUGCAGAACCAAGUCCAAUUUUGGUACUUCAGGAAAGAAACUGAGCAAUGGGAGAAGGUCAGCUGAAGAGCAACAGGAAUUAUCAGUGGUCUAGGAAGCACAACCCACAAAAAAAGUUGGAAGGAACAUAAAUUGUUUGUCCUAGAUAAUAAAAGAAGCAGAAAAGAUAUGACACAAGUCUUCAUGUACUUCAAAAGAGAAAAUUUUAGAAGAAAGGCAAUAAUUUGCUCACAACAUUUACUGCAGAAAAGACAAGAGCAAAUUGUCUCCAGGAGACAAAAGAUCAACAUUAAAACAUCAAAGGAGGAAUGUGAGGCUCUGAAAUUGAUAUGGUAAUAUUCCUCAUUCAUAUCUAUACUGUAUGUUCUUAUUUACAGGCACAGAAGGUCUCUGUUGAAAAUUUUCCGCAAGAUUACUUCCCAUCCGUUCCACUGACAGGUGCACUGAGAGAUUGAUCACAAAGCUAAAUCAAAUGGUCGUCUGAUUCUGAGGAGUUAGUACUGCCCUUCACUAUAUUACUAGGUGAAAAUGCACCACAGCAAAAAAAUUCUUACAGGAAGAUGCUCUCCUUACUGUUCAUUGCAACCACGCUGAUUUUGUUAAAUGUGCAUUCACAGACUAGGCAGACCCAGACACAUAUGGCACGUAACUGCUAAUGCUGUCACAGUUCUUAAAGGUGAUUGCCAAGAACAAUUCAUUGAAGUGGGUAAUUUGCUUACUGUGUAAAGAAAAUUAGCACCUUUGAAGCCAAAGUCUGGAAAAAGAAGAAAAUACCUUCACUAUUAUAUAUUUUUGUGAAACAAGCAGCAAUUAAUCUAUGUGGGCAGAAGUGUGCACUGGGUCAGAAUAGGCCUAGUAGGAGGAUCUAUGACCCUCUAUUAUCACUGAGAGGGUAGUAAUUGAUAGAGAUACUUUGCUUUAGCAUCCUCCCCUUGUGAUGUGGUCAGCUUAGCUGCAGCUGCAGAUGCUUUUUUUGUGAUAAAACUGUGAUUUGAAAAGUUAAGGAGCCUUCUGUUACAACUAAUCUUUCCUUAGUUAUGAGUGACCUGAAAUAAAACAAAUGUUGUAGAACCAGCAUGGAUGUUAUUCUGCAAGAUCACUCAGCAUGCAGCCCCUUACUCAAGUGACUCAUGGUCCUGGGGACUACAGGGGGGAACAAACCUCCCUCCCAGGCUCUGCACUGAACUCACAGAACUGGUCUGAGCUAGAAAGUGAAGAUCUUUCCAAGAGUGAUCAGCCUUGACCAAAGCAGUUCCCCUUCGGAGAAAGAACUGAGCCAUGCCAGCUGGUGUCUCAGGAGUCUGCACACACAAAACACACAUGCUUCAGCAGCAGAAGUCAGCGAAGAAGGAUACCCAGCUUACUCAGUGUCUUUUGGAGCCUGACUUACUUAUGCAUCUUAUAAAGCAAGACCUUGGUUUUUUGUGUGAAACCCAUCACCACUAGCUGUUCACUAGAAAUAAUUUUGGAAGUACAGAUUCUAGAAACCUAGUUGGUCUGGGGAGGAAAUAGCCCAGAGAUUUUGCUCACUGUGAUUUGUAAGUUGUGCUCUGAUUUCAAAAGCCCUGCUCGUGCACAAGCACUGAGGAAAUAAGGCAACCCAAGCAAGUGCUGUCGAAGUGCUCAGCAAAGCCAGCAGGGCUGUGCCACCAGCAGUGCUGGCACCUGGGGCCUAUCCAUGUCUCUCGUUCUGCAGAGCUUGCAAGUGGGAUGAAGACAUGACUUAAUGAGGCAGCUGGGAGCUGAAUCUAAAGUGAUAACAGAAUACACAAGGGUGAUAACACACUAGUGAUCCCAGAAGACUAUGUUUUCCUUACAGGGAAGAAAAAAAUAUUCUUUGUGAAGAAAUUAUCCUUAAAUACUGUAUUGUGUUUUGGGAAAUAUGUGAAAGAUAUAGGUCAUUAGGAGGGUAUAAGGUGAAAAGGGGAUAGCAGUCAACUGGCAAAGAAUUGUGGCUUCUUCAUUAAUAACUCCCAGCAGUAUUGCAAAGCAGGAACAGCAGGCCAUGUUCAGCCAGGAAGUCCAUCCUUAGAGGAAACUUCUAUUCUCUUCAUAUGUUAUUUUAAAAUUCUGCCUUUAAAGAAGGAGAUACUUUGAUCUUUAAUUCGUCCCUAUUGAUAUGGCUGGAAUGUGUCCAUAUGGCUGAUGUAGUUGCUAGGCUACUCUUGAUAAUUUUUGAUCAAUCAUGAAGACUGGGAAAAGUGCCUGAAGACUGGAGGAAAGUAAAGGACAAUCUUGACUUGAAGAAGGGCAAGACAACUACAGGCUGGUCAACCCCACUUUGAUCCCAGGAAAUGAGAAGGAGCAGCUGAUUCUGGAAACUAUUUCCAAGCAUAUUAAAAACAAGAAAAUCAUCUGAGUAGUAAGCAUGGAUUUACCAAUUGGGAAGUCAUUCUAGACCAACUUGGUAAAUUUCCAUAAUGAAAUGACUGGCCUGGUAGAUGAGGGGAGAGCAGAGGUUAUUUUCUACCUGGACUUCAGUAGGACUUUUGGCACUGUCUCCAGAAAAUCCUCAUAGAGAAGCUGUUGAUAUAUGGGUUGCACGAACAGACAGUGAAGUGGAUUCAAAACUGACUUAACAGUCACGCACAGAGAGUGGUGAUCAGACACAAAAUCAGCUUGGUAGCCACUAACUAGCAAGUUUGCUGAUGAUACCAAACUUGGGAGGAGUGGCUAAUAUGCUGGCAGGUUAUGCUGCCAUCCAGAAGGACCUCAA
This is a long non-coding RNA of Pseudopipra pipra, 5224 nucleotides long. RefSeq lists it as uncharacterized. Lineage: Eukaryota; Metazoa; Chordata; Aves; Passeriformes; Pipridae. The transcript is spliced from 3 exons. The record is from RefSeq and is a predicted model, not a curated record.